Molecule: unclassified non-coding RNA, 201 nt
Filed under: uncultured fungus
Lineage: Eukaryota; Fungi
Description: sequence contains ITS1
Source: RNAcentral
UUAACUAUUAUAUAGUACUCAGACGACACUAACAUUCAGGGUUCGAAGGCCUCUGGCGGGCGCGCGCCGCCUAUUAGACGCCGGCGGCCGGGGACCCGGCGGCCCGCCAAAGAAACGACAGUAACGAUAACAGUGGGUGGGAGAUCUACCCGCGAGGGCGAGAACUCUGUAAUGAUCCCUCCGCAGGUUCACCUACGGAGA